Molecule: unclassified non-coding RNA, 443 nt
Filed under: Hevea brasiliensis (rubber tree)
Lineage: Eukaryota; Viridiplantae; Streptophyta; Magnoliopsida; Malpighiales; Euphorbiaceae
Source: RNAcentral
UUUUUUUUUUUUUUUUUUGUUCCAUUUUCUUAUUUGUUGAUUACAUUUAAUGGAGGGGUAGGUGUUAUAUUGGUCGGAGCAUCACUUGCCUUGUGGAUCAGUUAGGCUAUUUGCUUACGUAAAUUGAACCCUUGAAAUAUUUGAUUACUGGGUUUCCUAUUUUGCUUUGAUUCCCUCAAUCUUCUAUCUAAAUCUAAAUCAUGUCAAUCUUAAGCAAAAAUAAUAGCAGCAACAACAUGGGCACACCUUCCUUCCAUGAGUUCAAGAAGCAAGCUUCUUUCUUCCUUAAGGAGAAGAUCAAGAGUGCUAGAUUGGCUCUCACAGAUGUCACACCUGCAGAAUUGCUGACUGAAGAAGCUGCAAAUGGGAAUCCAUGGGCGCCUGAUACACGUACCCUUGGAUCUAUUUCAAGGGCUGCUUUUGAAGUUGAUGAUUAUUGGAGA